RNAcentral lists this transfer RNA (54 nucleotides) under Biomphalaria choanomphala. RNAcentral describes it as "tRNA-Leu". The record is from RNAcentral. Lineage: Eukaryota; Metazoa; Mollusca; Gastropoda; Planorbidae.
UUGUGGCAGAUAAUAUGCAAAGAUUUUAAGAGUCUUAGAAGAAUUUUUUUCCAA